This 376-nucleotide ribosomal RNA is filed under the name uncultured bacterium. RNAcentral describes it as "bacterial SSU rRNA". It matches the Rfam family "Bacterial small subunit ribosomal RNA", at positions 524 to 898 of the family's 1533-position model. The record is from RNAcentral.
UACGUACCGGACAAACGUUAUUCGGAAUUACUGGGCUUAAAGAGUGCGUAGGCGGCCCACCAGGUGGGGUGUGAAAUACCACGGCUCAACCGUGGAAUUGCGCCCCAAACCGGCGGGCUUGAGGAAGAUAGGGGUGAGCGGAACUGAUGGUGGAGCGGUGAAAUGCGUUGAUAUCAUCAGGAACACCGGUGGCGAAGGCGGCUCACUGGGUCUUAUCUGACGCUGAGGCACGAAAGCUAGGGUAGCGAACGGGAUUAGAUACCCCGGUAGUCCUAGCUGUAAACGAUGAGCACUAGAUCGUGGGGGCUUCCACACCCUCAUGGUCGUAGCGAAAGUGUUAAGUGCUCCGCCUGGGGAGUAUGGUCGCAAGGCUGAA